GCGCGAAACUUUCGCAAUGCACGCAAGUGUGACGAAGGAACUUGGAGUGUCUUCUCCGUUUUGGAGGAGACUUUUGUCAAGUGUAAAAAGCUUGGCGAAUAAGGGGUGGGCAACACAGGUGCCAGCCGCCGCGGUAAUACCUGGGCCCCAAGUGGUGAUCGCUUUUAUUGGGUUUAAAGCGUUCGUAGCCGGCUUGUUAAGUCCUUAAUGAAAUUCGGCAGCUAACUGUCGAAAUUGUUGGGGAUACUGGCAGGCUCGAGACCGGGAGAGGUCGAGGGUAUUCUCGGGGUAAGGGUAAAAUCUUAUAAUCCCGAGAGGACCACCUGUGGCGAAGGCGCUCGACUAGAACGGAUCUGACGGUGAGGGACGAAAGCUAGGGGAGCAAACGGG
RNAcentral lists this ribosomal RNA (390 nucleotides) under uncultured bacterium. RNAcentral describes it as "bacterial SSU rRNA". It matches the Rfam family "Archaeal small subunit ribosomal RNA", at positions 339 to 727 of the family's 1478-position model. The record is from RNAcentral.